AACGCACAUUGCGCCUCUCGGUAUUCCGGGAGGCACGCCUGUUCGAGCGCCAUUACACACUCCAAGCUCUGCUUGAUGUUGGACGUUGCGGGGAAGCGCCUUUCAGAGGCGUGGACUUGCACGUCCGGAACGCGUGGGCGUCCGGUCUGUCGAGAAACCACGAGCGUAGCAAGAUUGGCGAAAGCCGUCAUUCGCUCGUCUGGGGCUCCAGCGGACGGUCUACAGACCUGAACGAAGCGCACAUACAUAUGUCUGUGGGUGGAGGUCGGGUCGAAACACAUACAACGAGUUUGGCCUCGGAUCAGGUGGGGAUACCCGCUGAACUUAA
This 328-nucleotide unclassified non-coding RNA is filed under the name uncultured fungus. RNAcentral's name for it is "sequence contains ITS2". Lineage: Eukaryota; Fungi. The record is from RNAcentral.